GACGAACGCUGGCGGCGUGCUUAACACAUGCAAGUCGAACGGAAAGGCCCUGCUUUUGUGGGGUGCUCGAGUGGCGAACGGGUGAGUAACACGUGAGUAACCUGCCCUUGACUUUGGGAUAACUUCAGGAAACUGGGGCUAAUACCGGAUAGGAGCUCCUGCUGCAUGGUGGGGGUUGGAAAGUUUCGGCGGUUGGGGAUGGACUCGCGGCUUAUCAGCUUGUUGGUGGGGUAGUGGCUUACCAAGGCUUUGACGGGUAGCCGGCCUGAGAGGGUGACCGGCCACAUUGGGACUGAGAUACGGCCCAGACUCCUACGGGAGGCAGCAGUGGGGAAUAAUGCACAAUGGGCGGAAGCCUGAUGCAGCAACGCAGCGUGCGGGAUGACGGCCUUCGGGUUGUAAACCGCUUUCGCCUGUGACGAAGCGUGAGUGACGGUAAUGGGUAAAGAAGCACCGGCUAACUACGUG
RNAcentral lists this ribosomal RNA (468 nucleotides) under uncultured bacterium. RNAcentral describes it as "partial 16S ribosomal RNA". It matches the Rfam family "Bacterial small subunit ribosomal RNA", at positions 28 to 507 of the family's 1533-position model. The record is from RNAcentral.